RNAcentral lists this long non-coding RNA (714 nucleotides) under Marmota monax (woodchuck). Lineage: Eukaryota; Metazoa; Chordata; Mammalia; Rodentia; Sciuridae. The record is from RNAcentral.
GUGAACAGUGCAGCAAUAAACACAGCAUAAAGUAUGGGUUUUUAUAAACUCUUCCCUCAUACUAUCAGAUUUAUUAUUCCCAUAUGAUCUGGGAAGUAAUUUGCCAAAAGCCACAUAGUGAUGAGGGACAGAAAGGACACGGACUAAGCCUGGGCCUGAGCAUCAUGCUCUAUGCUGAGGGUUCAUGGGAGCCCCCUCCGUCUCUACUGGGCCAAAUCACAGCCACCCUCAUCCCAGCUGCUAACGAGCCAGGUGCCCUCUGUUUCACCCUGUCCCCCUAAUCUCAGAGCAGCAAGGACUUGUGCAGCACCCCUAUGUCACAUAAGUCAUAUGGGCUGGGGGCUGGAGGUCACCUGGGAGAUCCAGCACAGCCCCGCAGAGGAGGAGCUCCCUGCUGGACGUUCACCAGGGGGGCUGGGGACCACCUUCUCCCUCUUUGCCAAUCAGGUGUUCCCCUCCUCCUUCACACUGGGUGGAGGGGACUUUUACCCUAGUUGUUCCUCUGGGGACGGCUGCGGUGGCCAGCUUGUUGCUAGUUCUGACCUAACCGUCUGGAGGCCUGGGCAGUCUGGCCAGGGAGCCAAGCACUCAGGGGGUCGGGAAGGCACCCUCCUCCGCGGCCUGCAGAUGAGCAAACGACCGACUGGACAGAAGGUCUCCCUUCCUCAAAAGCAUGGAAUUGGGGAGAAGAGUCUGUGCAGAGCGCGGGCGAGG